RNAcentral lists this ribosomal RNA (459 nucleotides) under uncultured bacterium. Its description in RNAcentral is "partial 16S ribosomal RNA". It matches the Rfam family "Bacterial small subunit ribosomal RNA", at positions 338 to 795 of the family's 1533-position model. The record is from RNAcentral.
CCUACGCGGGCAGCAGUGAGGAAUAUUGGUCAAUGGCCGUAAGGCUGAACCAGCCAAGUCGCGUGAAGGAAGAAGGAUCUAUGGUUUGUAAACUUCUUUUAUAGGGGAAUAAAGGUAUCCACGUGUGGAUAUUUGCAUGUACCCUAUGAAUAAGCAUCGGCUAACUCCGUGCCAGCAGCCGCGGUAAUACGGAGGAUGCGAGCGUUAUCCGGAUUUAGUGGGUUUAAAGGGUGCGUAGGUUGUUUUUUAAGUCAGCGGUGAAAGUUUGUGGCUCAACCAUAAAAUUGCCGUUGAAACUGGAAGACUUGAGUGUGUUUGAGGUAGGCGGAAUGCGUGGUGUAGCGGUGAAAUGCUUAGAUAUCACGAAGAACUCCGAUUGCGAAGGCAGCUCACUGGACUGCAACUGACACUGAGGCUCGAAAGUGUGGGUAUCAAACAGGAUUAGAUACCCCUGUAGUC